UAGCGUUAAAGGGGGUGAAAAGCCCCCUCGCCGUAAGCGCAAGGUUUUCUACGCAACGUUCAUCGGCGUAGAGUGAGUCGGCCCCUAAGGCGAGGCAGAGAUGCGUAGCUGAUGGGAAACAGGUCAAUAUUCCUGUACCGAUCAAUAGUGCGAUGUGGGGACGGAGAAGGUUAGCUCAGCCAACUGUUGGAUAUGUUGGUUCAAGCCUGUAGUCGUGCCUGGUAGGCAAAUCCGCCGGGCUUAGAUGAGGGGUGAUAACGAGGCUGCUUGCAGCCGAAGUGAGUGAUACCCUGCUUCCAGGAAAAGCCACUAAGCUUCAGCUAUUGACGACCGUACCGCAAACCGACACUGGUGCGCGUGAUGAGUAUUCUCAGGCGCUUGAGAGAACUCGGGAGAAGGAACUCGGCAAAUUGACACCGUAACUUCGGGAUAAGGUGUGCCCUAGUAGCGUGUAGAG
Molecule: ribosomal RNA, 457 nt
Filed under: Phaeomonas parva
Lineage: Eukaryota; Pinguiophyceae; Pinguiochrysidales; Pinguiochrysidaceae
Description: partial Bacterial large subunit ribosomal RNA
Rfam family: Bacterial large subunit ribosomal RNA
Source: RNAcentral